UGGGUAACCUGCCCAAGAGAUCGGGAUAACACCUGGAAACAGAUGCUAAUACCGGAUAACAACAGAUGAUGCCUAUCAACUGUUUAAAAGAUGGUUCUGCUAUCACUCUUGGAUGGACCUGCGGUGCAUUAGCUAGUUGGUAGGGUAACGGCCUACCAAGGCGAUGAUGCAUAGCCGAGUUGAGAGACUGAUCGGCCACAUUGGGACUGAGACACGGCCCAAACUCCUACGGGAGGCAGCAGCC
This 244-nucleotide ribosomal RNA is filed under the name uncultured Lactobacillus sp. RNAcentral describes it as "partial 16S ribosomal RNA". It matches the Rfam family "Bacterial small subunit ribosomal RNA", at positions 118 to 355 of the family's 1533-position model. The record is from RNAcentral. Lineage: Bacteria; Bacillati; Bacillota; Bacilli; Lactobacillales; Lactobacillaceae.